CGCACCGUAAAACGGGUCCCUCCUCCUGAGGACCCAAACUCUAAUGUUUCUUAUUGUAACUUUUGAGUAAAACAAACAAAUAAAUCAAAACUUUCAACAACGGAUCUCUUGGUUCUGGCAUCGAUGAAGAACGCAGCAAAAUGCGAUAAGUAAUGUGAAUUGCAGAAUUCAGUGAAUCAUCGAAUCUUUGAACGCACAUUGCGCCCGCUGGUAUUCCGGCGGGCAUGCCUGUUCGAGCGUCAUUUCCAACCCUCAAGCCCCCGGGUUUGGUGUUGGGGAUCGGCUCUGCCUUCUGGCGGUGCCGCCCCCGAAAUACAUUGGCGGUCUCCCUGCAGCCUCCAUUGCGUAGUAGCGAACACCACGCAACUGGAACCCGGCGCGGCCAUGCCGUAGAACCCCAACUUCUGAAUGUUGACCUCGGAUCAGGUAGGAAUACCCGCUGAGGUUUUUUC
RNAcentral lists this ribosomal RNA (452 nucleotides) under Fusarium sp. TRT95. RNAcentral's name for it is "eukaryotic LSU rRNA". The stretch from base 89 to 242 matches the Rfam family "5.8S ribosomal RNA". Lineage: Eukaryota; Fungi; Ascomycota; Sordariomycetes; Hypocreales; Nectriaceae. The record is from RNAcentral.